ACGGGUGAGUAACGCGUAAUCAACCUGCCCUUCAGAGGGGGACAACAGUUGGAAACGACUGCUAAUACCGCAUACGAUCUAAUCUCGGCAUCGAGGAAAGAUGAAAGGUGGCCUCUAUGUAUAAGCUAUCACUGAAGGAGGGGAUUGCGUCUGAUUAGCUAGUUGGAGGGGUAACGGCCCACCAAGGCGAUGAUCAGUAGCCGGUCUGAGAGGAUGAACGGCCACAUUGGGACUGAGACACGGCCCAGACUCCUACGGGAGGCAGCAGUGGGGAAUCUUCCGCAAUGGACGAAAGUCUGACGGAGCAACGCCGCGUGAGUGAUGACGGCCUUCGGGUUGUAAAGCUCUGUUAAUCGGGACGAAAGGCCUUCUUGCGAACAGUUAGAAGGAUUGACGGUACCGGAAUAGAAAGCCACGGCUAACUACGUGCCAGCAGCCGCGGUAAUACGUAGGUGGCGAGCGUUGUCCGGAAUCAUUGGGCGUAAAGGGAGCGCAGGCGGGCAUGUAAGUCUUUCUUAAAAGUGCGGGGCUCAACCCCGUGAUGGGAAAGAAACUAUGUGUCUUGAGUACAGGAGAGGAAAGUGGAAUUCCCAGUGUAGCGGUGAAAUGCGUAGAUAUUGGGAGGAACACCAGUGGCGAAGGCGGCUUUCUGGACUGCAACUGACGCUGAGGCUCGAAAGCCAGGGGAGCGAACGGGAUUAGAUACCCC
This 709-nucleotide ribosomal RNA is filed under the name uncultured bacterium. Its description in RNAcentral is "bacterial SSU rRNA". It matches the Rfam family "Bacterial small subunit ribosomal RNA", at positions 102 to 788 of the family's 1533-position model. The record is from RNAcentral.